AGUGAACGCUGGCGGUAGGCCUAACACAUGCAAGUCGAACGGCAGCACAGUAAGAGCUUGCUCUUACGGGUGGAGAGUGGCGGACGGGUGAGGAAUACAUCGGAAUCUACUUUUUCGUGGGGGAUAACGUAGGGAAACUUACGCUAAUACCGCAUACGACCUACGGGUGAAAGCAGGGGAUCUUCGGACCUUGCGCGAUUGAAUGAGCCGAUGUCGGAUUAGCUAGUUGGCGGGGUAAAGGCCCACCAAGGCGACGAUCCGUAGCUGGUCUGAGAGGAUGAUCAGCCACACUGGAACUGAGACACGGUCCAGACUCCUACGGGAGGCAGCAGUGGGGAAUAUUGGACAAUGGGCGCAAGCCUGAUCCAGCCAUACCGCGUGGGUGAAGAAGGCCUUCGGGUUGUAAAGCCCUUUUGUCGGGAAAGAAAAGCAGCAGGUUAAUACCCCGCUGUUCUGACGGUACCCAAAGAAUAAGCACCGGCUAACUUCGUG
This 492-nucleotide ribosomal RNA is filed under the name uncultured bacterium. Its description in RNAcentral is "partial 16S ribosomal RNA". It matches the Rfam family "Bacterial small subunit ribosomal RNA", at positions 29 to 507 of the family's 1533-position model. The record is from RNAcentral.